UACAGAGGGUGCGAGCGUUAAUCGGAAUUACUGGGCGUAAAGCGUGCGUAGACGGUAGCGUAAGUCAGAUGUGAAAGCCCCGGGCUCAACCUGGGAAUUGCAUUUGAGACUGCUCUGCUCGGGUGCGGAAGAGGGAAGGCGGGAAUUUCCGGUGUAGCGGUGAAAUGCGUAGAUAUCGGAAGGAACGACCAGUGGCGAAAGCGGACUUCCU
Molecule: ribosomal RNA, 211 nt
Filed under: uncultured bacterium
Lineage: Bacteria
Description: partial 16S ribosomal RNA
Rfam family: Bacterial small subunit ribosomal RNA
Source: RNAcentral